Molecule: ribosomal RNA, 253 nt
Filed under: uncultured bacterium
Lineage: Bacteria
Description: partial 16S ribosomal RNA
Rfam family: Bacterial small subunit ribosomal RNA
Source: RNAcentral
UACAGAGGGUGCGAGCGUUAAUCGGAAUUACUGGGCGUAAAGCGUGCGUAGACGGCUAUCUAAGUCGGGUGUGAAAGCCCCGGGCUCAACCUGGGAAUUGCAUUCGAGACUGAAUAGCUAGGGUACGGUAGAGGGAAGUGGAAUUUCCGGUGUAGCGGUGAAAUGCGUAGAUAUCGGAAGGAACAUCAGUGGCGAAAGCGACUUCCUGGACCAGUACCGACGUUCAGGCACGAAAGCGUGGGGAGCAAGCAGG